CGCGGGAUGGAGCAGUAGGUCGCUCGUCGGGCUCAUAACCCGAAGGUCAUCGGUUCGAGUCCGGUUCCCGCUA
This 73-nucleotide transfer RNA is filed under the name Chryseobacterium joostei. Its description in RNAcentral is "tRNA_Met_CAT". It matches the Rfam family "tRNA". From Rfam's summary of the family: Transfer RNA (tRNA) molecules are approximately 80 nucleotides in length. Their secondary structure includes four short double-helical elements and three loops (D, anti-codon, and T loops). Lineage: Bacteria; Pseudomonadati; Bacteroidota; Flavobacteriia; Flavobacteriales; Weeksellaceae. The record is from RNAcentral.